Notothenia coriiceps (black rockcod) is the source of this 1224-nucleotide long non-coding RNA. RefSeq lists it as uncharacterized. The record is from RefSeq and is a predicted model, not a curated record. The transcript has 3 exons. NCBI's taxonomy places the organism in Eukaryota, Metazoa, Chordata, Actinopteri, Perciformes, Nototheniidae.
UGUCUCUUCCUGUGUUCAGUGUUGGUUCGUCUUUUGUUGUUGACUGUGUUCACCGGUGAGUGUGCUGUCUGUCCAAGUUCUAUUCGUUAUCCUUGAAAUAAAGGUAGAAUCAGUUUAACCUGCAUUUGGGUCCUGCGUCCUUCGCUCUACCGUAACAAUUAGCUGCUCUUGAGGGUUUGAUCUGCACUAGCUUCAUCCUGUGUUGUGGGCUUUUUCCAAACAAAUCAUGUUCAGCUAAUGUUAUGUUUCAAAUGGAGAUCACAUGAUCAAUAUGAUUGAUUAUAAUCAAAGUGAAGUAGACCUCAUGGUGAGUUUUUUUCUAAAGACCUCAGCUUUUAAGCUAAAAUGUAUGAAAAUGUUCAGGAAAAAGGAUAUUCAAAUGAUCACCAUGACAACCGGGCAAACUCCAUCGGCUGAUUGUUUCUUAAGAACCUUACCCUAAAGGCUUAUGGAGGAAAGACCAGGCAAUGCAGUCAGGUAUUCAUGGCUUUGACCCCUUCCCUGGAAACGGAGAUAAGGUCCACUGUCCCUGCUGCUUGCGUCAAACUGAGAGGCUUGGUGGAAUAAUUGCUUUCAAGAUAGUUUUGACCUGGGACGUCCAGUCAAUAUUACUCACUUUAAUAAACUGCUGAUGCUCUACAUUUCAAAUAUGUUAAAAUAUAAUGUGUGGAUCUUGGUAGCUGUGGUGCUCUUAAGAACAAACGUGUGCACUGUUAUAAGGUCGGUCACAUAGCCUUCAGUCAUUUCAAACUGCCAUGCAAUGAGCCCUAUAUAAUAGGAUGUUAUCUAGCAUGGGUUAUCAAACACAUAUUGACCAGAACAACAAUGCCGCUCUUGGUAAUCUGACAUUUUACAAAACAAGUUGAUUGCCUAGAAUAAUUACUUCCUUCCCCAAACACAGUGCACCAUUGUAACAAUUUCAGCUGCAAAAAAGUGUUUCUGUAUACCACAAGUGGUCAAAGGAGAUGCGGCACAUUAAGAUGUGAUCUAGUUUUGGUCUAAGUUCUACUGUGUUUGUUGUUAAAGGAGCAUAUUGAUGUAUUUCCUCCCAGCUGUGAUGUGGAUUAAGAUAUUAAGUGUGAAUUCAUACUCCUUUACCUGUCGAUUAUUAUUUUGUGUAUUAUGUUCUCAUGUCUUUCAUUGUUGUUGUAUAGCUGCUGCCUGACUAUGCUCAAUGAAAGGCAGGUUUUCCAAUAAAAACAAUCUCAAAACAGAUGACACAUU